This is a non-coding RNA of Araneus ventricosus, 112 nucleotides long. NCBI's taxonomy places the organism in Eukaryota, Metazoa, Arthropoda, Arachnida, Araneae, Araneidae. The record is from the annotation of a GenBank genome assembly.
UGUCAGAAGUGGAUUCGAACCACGCCCAGCAUCUGUGACCAGAACUUCCAACACUUCUGCGACAGAGCAAGGAACCUUGAGUCUGGCGCUUUGACCGCUCGGCCAUCCUGAC